UUUUUGAAAAUAAUUUAAAGUCUAAUCUGCCCACUGAUAAAUUAUUAAAGGGCUGCAGUAUUUUGACUGUACAAAGGUAGCAUAAUCAUUAGUCUCUUAAUUGGUGACUUGUAUGAAAGAUUGGAUGAAAUAUAUACUGUCUCUAUUUAAUUUAUAAAAUUUAAUUUUUUAGUAAAAAAGCUAAAAUGAAUUUAAAAGACGAGAAGACCCUAUAGAGUUUAAUAAUUUAUUUAAUUAUUAUUAAUGUAUAAAUUUUAAAAUUAAAAUUGAAUAAAUUAUUUUGUUGGGGUGAUAGAAAAAUUAAAUUAACUUUUUUUUAUUUUAUACAUUAAUUUAUGAAUAAAUGAUCCAUUAAUAAUGAUUAAAAGAAAAAAUUACCUUAGGGAUAACAGCGUAAUUUUUUUUUUUAGUUCAAAUAGGAAAAAAAGUUUGCGACCUCGAUGUUGGAUUAAGAUAAAAAUUAAAUGCAAAAGUUUAAAAUUUUGAUCUGUUCGAUCAUUAAAAUCUUACAUG
This 513-nucleotide ribosomal RNA is filed under the name Papilio bianor (Chinese peacock). RNAcentral describes it as "partial 16S ribosomal RNA". The stretch from base 385 to 513 matches the Rfam family "Bacterial large subunit ribosomal RNA", at positions 2473 to 2602 of the family's 2925-position model. Lineage: Eukaryota; Metazoa; Arthropoda; Insecta; Lepidoptera; Papilionidae. The record is from RNAcentral.